GCGGUUUUCGAGUUGUGUGCGUCGGUGUCAUAGGGCCUACAUCAUCCGACACGAUAUUUCGGCAAACUCGCAAGAAAUUGUGAAAAGAACUACCCCGGUCGGUGGGUGGAGGGGGAGCGGUGACCUUAGCAAGCUCGAUCAGCAUAUCGUAAUGUGGAUAAAGUUUCGUCAUAAUUGAUAUCUGCUGGUGACAGAGCUGCUAUCAUAACAGUUUUGCUGAAAACAACAAUUUUCAGAUCCAAUAGCGUUUUUGAUGAUCUGAUCAAAGGUGAUAGUUACGACAGUAUGGGCUCGACUACUAGUAGCAUUCAUAUUGGUUGAUGCCACUGUUCUGGCUGCAGUUCCUGUAAUAUAUAAUAAUAAUAAAUGAGGUUUAAUAUGACUCCUGUAAUAUAUAAUAAUAAAUAUGGUGUAAUAUGGUUCUUUGACCGUAUUACUAUAAUAGCAAUGUAUAUGUUUAG
Patella vulgata (common limpet) is the source of this 461-nucleotide long non-coding RNA. RefSeq lists it as uncharacterized. The transcript has 3 exons. Lineage: Eukaryota; Metazoa; Mollusca; Gastropoda; Patellidae. The record is from RefSeq and is a predicted model, not a curated record.